This 35-nucleotide ribosomal RNA is filed under the name Timgrovea sp. TRAPPE14535. RNAcentral describes it as "partial 28S ribosomal RNA". Lineage: Eukaryota; Fungi; Basidiomycota; Agaricomycetes; Agaricales; Bolbitiaceae. The record is from RNAcentral. RNAcentral also lists the same sequence under 1 other name.
CAGGUAGGACUACCCGCUGAACUUAAGCAUAUCAU